CCAUCAGUUAGUUGGUAAGGUAACGGCUUACCAAGGCAAUGACGGGUAGCGGGUUUGAGAGGAUGAUCCGCCACACUGGUACUGAGACACGGACCAGACUCCUACGGGAGGCAGCAGUGAGGAAUAUUGCGCAAUGGGGGAAACCCUGACGCAGCGACGCCGCGUGAGUGAGGAAGGCCUUCGGGUCGUAAAGCUCUGUCAGAUGGGAAGAAGUGUUAUAUGGUUAAUACCCUUAUAAUUUGACGGUACCAUCAAAGGAAGCACCGGCUAACUCCGUGCCAGCAGCCGCGGUAAUACGGAGGGUGCAAGUGUUGUUCGGAAUCACUGGGCGUAAAGGGCGCGCAGGCGGUCUGUUAAGUCAGAUGUGAAAGCCCACGGCUUAACCGUGGAAGUGCAUUUGAAACUGGCGGACUUGAGUAUCAGAGGGGAAAGUGGAAUUCCCGGUGUAGAGGUGAAAUUCGUAGAAUAUCCGGGGAGGAAUACCGGGUGGCGAAGGGCGACUUUUCUGGGCUGAAUACUGACGCUGAGGGCGCGAAAGCGUGGGGGAGCAAACAGGAUUAGAUACCCUGGUAGUCCACGCCGUAAACGAUGUGAACUAGAUGUAGGAGGUAUUGAUCCCUUCUGUGUCGCAGCUAACGCAUUAAGUUCACCGCCUGGGGAGUACGGUCGCAAGAUUAAAACUCAAAGGAAUUGACGGGGGCCCGCACAAGCGGUGGAGUAUGUGGUUUAAUUCGAUGCAACGCGAAGAACCUUACCUGGUCUUGACAUCCCAAGAAUCUCCUGGAAACAGGAGAGUACUUUCAUUAGAGAGAACUUGGUGGCAGGUGCUGCAUGGCUGUCGUCAGCUCGAGUCGUGAGAUGUUGGGUUAAGUCCCGCAACGAGCGCAACCCUCGCCUUUAGUUGCCAUCAGGUUAUGCUGGGCACUCUAGAGGGACUGCCGGUGUUAAACCGGAGGAAGGCGGGGAUGACGUCAAGUCCUCAUGACCUUUAUGACCAGGGCUACACACGUACUACAAUGGCCGGUACAAAGGGCAGCUAGCUCGCGAGAGUAAGCGAAUCCCGAAAAGCCGGUCUCAGUCCGGAUUGGAGUCUGCAACUCGACUCCAUGAAGUUGGAAUCGCUAGUAAUCGUGGAUCAGCAUGCCACGGUGAAUACGUUCCCGGGCCUUGUACACACCGCCCGUCACACCACGGGAGU
RNAcentral lists this ribosomal RNA (1198 nucleotides) under uncultured bacterium. RNAcentral's name for it is "bacterial SSU rRNA". It matches the Rfam family "Bacterial small subunit ribosomal RNA", at positions 238 to 1411 of the family's 1533-position model. The record is from RNAcentral.